Molecule: non-coding RNA, 25 nt
Filed under: Rattus norvegicus (Norway rat)
Lineage: Eukaryota; Metazoa; Chordata; Mammalia; Rodentia; Muridae
Source: RNAcentral
UGCUAUUGCCACAUCCCUCUGCCAC